GCGGGCUCCCCGCCCUCUCCGUGCGCCCCGGCCGCUCCCCGCCUCCAGCGCGCCGCCUUCGGGGAUGUCCCGCUCCCCUCCCAAGAGCGCCGGGCCACGGCCGUCGUGCCCCCUGGAGCCCCGGCGAGGGCGGAGACUCAGUGGAAAGAAGUGAUCGUCUGCCCCGCAGUCCCCUCGAAGGAGGAGCCCACCCGCGGCUGGCUUAGUAGGGUGUCCGGGUUGCGGGGCAGGCACCUGCUUUCCUAUGGACUGCCAAAACUAACCCAGAGAAUUCCCUCCGGACUCCCAUCUCCCAGCUGUACUUUGGCCUGCCCGCCCCACUCCUGGUGUCCACCUGUCAGAGGGCAGCCCACGUGCUCCAGUUCCCUGGUCCCCAACCUGCAGGGGCGACCUCUUGAUCGGAAAAUUUUAGAUUUCUUGGUAUCAACACUUCGCCUCCCUCAGGGCCUCUCCUCGUAGUUGGGUAAACAGCUCUGUCUCUUGACUGGGGACACCUGUCCCAUUUUCCCAGGACUGUUCCAAUUUCACUGUAAAAGGAAAAAAAAAAUCUGCUCCCUGAAUAGGAAACUUCAUCCAGCACCUUGUGCCUAGUUCUGACUCUGGCUGAAGUGGAGGCAGCCCAGCUGCUCUCCCUCAGCCCCUACUCUGACCCUAAAGAGGUCAGACGACACCCUGGCAUCCCCAUUCCUGGGACCUCCAUGCUAGUUUCCAUCUUUCAAAGACGGUUAGCUUAAGGUUUUCCAAACUGAGAAGAGCAAAGAGGGGAUUUACUUGCCGGUUAGAUGUAGAAUAAAUCCACAAACCCAAUUUCCAACACGGAUGGGUGAGAAGAAUUACUAAGGAACCUCUCUUAUACUUGAGGCACAUUACCAAAGUUCAAGGCAAACAGCAUCCCCUUCAAUAAGAAACAUUUGAAAAACUAUCAUGUAUUUUACUUGUGCCAAAGGUUAGAUAAUACAAACAGUGGGAACCAGGGCAUAAGUCAACUAAGAUCCCAACUGUCGCUUUCUCAUGCCUACAGUCAGCAUCUUCUUGUCCUUUCUUUCUCCUUCCCUUCCUCCCACUGUGUUUCCUUCUCCUCUUUUCCUAUUUGGUUCUCUGCUAUGUUGCCCUUGCUGCCUGGCCUCAGGAACAGCCGCCAGAGCUCAUGAAAACAAUUCUCAUUCUCAGCUAUUAUCCCCACAGCUGAAGAAGUGCUGAUUCUCUACUACCCGGCCAUAAAAAAGAAUGAAAUCAUGUCUU
This 1242-nucleotide long non-coding RNA is filed under the name Homo sapiens (human). Its description in RNAcentral is "HSALNT0159072". Lineage: Eukaryota; Metazoa; Chordata; Mammalia; Primates; Hominidae. The record is from RNAcentral.